CCCCGACCGUCCGAGCUUCCAUAAUACCAUCCGGACUUCUCCAAUAAUGGGCUCCUCCAUUCAUCUACCGGACUGCUCCAAACGCUCUCUGAGCUUCACUAUCAGUCGAUUUUCUAUAGUGAUCGACUAUUCUUCGAAUCUCAGCCUAGACUUCUUUCGGCCACGAACAAUUUUACUCUAAAUUUCUUUCGGGCUUCGUCAAUAUCCGAGCUUCUCCAAUAGUAGGACUUC
Molecule: long non-coding RNA, 231 nt
Filed under: Elaeis guineensis (African oil palm)
Lineage: Eukaryota; Viridiplantae; Streptophyta; Magnoliopsida; Arecales; Arecaceae
Description: long non-coding RNA (EGUI_LNC038506)
Source: RNAcentral